CAGGCCUAACACAUGCAAGUCGAACGGUGGUAGCAAUACCAUAGUGGCGCACGGGUGCGUAACACGUAACUAACCUACCUAUAACUGGGGGAUAGCCCGCCGAAAGGCGGAUUAAUACCGCAUAAGCUCUGAGGGUGGCAUCACCUUUUUAGUAAAGAUUUAUUGGUUAUAGAUGGGGUUGCGGGUCAUUAGCUAGUUGGUUGGGUAACGGCUGACCAAGGCGACGAUGACUAGGGGAGCUGAGAGGCUGGUCCCCCACACGGGCACUGAGAUACGGGCCCGACUCCUACGGGAGGCAGCAGUAGGGAAUAUUGGGCAAUGGGCGAGAGCCUGACCCAGCCAUGCCGCGUGCAGGAAGAAGGCUUUCUGAGUCGUAAACUGCUUUUGACAGGGAAGAAUAAGGCGUACGUGUACGCUGAUGACGGUACCUGCAGAAUAAGCACCGGCUAACUCCGUGCCAGCAGCCGCGGUAAU
Molecule: ribosomal RNA, 474 nt
Filed under: uncultured bacterium
Lineage: Bacteria
Description: bacterial SSU rRNA
Rfam family: Bacterial small subunit ribosomal RNA
Source: RNAcentral